CGUAACUAGGAAGUUUGUACAGUAACCAGGAGAAACGGAGGUGUGUGUUGAUUUCUGUUUUUAACCGUUAGUCUUUGUGUUCAGUCGAUUAAGGCCUCUUUCAACUGAACAAAUCUUUCACAGAACUUUCCAGAACCUGCAGUUGUAGACUGUGAAGAGGCUGAACAAUGGCAUUACCUACUCUUUCCUCACACUGGCCCGGACGAAUCCGUCCUCUGGAUCGUCAGUUGGCGCGUCAGAGAGAACAGGAGGCACGACGUCUCCAACAGUGGCAGGCGCACUCACAAUAUUUUAAAGAGCAGCAUGUUCGCAGCAGUAAACAGGCACACUGGAGCUCCCGUCAGUCCUAUCAGCAGAGCAUGUCGGCGUUCCGACGUGAGCGCCUGCAGGAGGAGAGGAGGAGGAGCGUGGAGGUGCGCAGGGAGCGUCUGAGGAACAUGCUGCAGGAGGAGAAUGCACAACUGGAGGAUGAGCUCCGAGCCUCCACCCGGGACAGGGGUGCCACCCUCAGGCAGCAGCAGGAGAGGGCAGAGGAUCUGCGAGCAGCCAGAGAAGAGCGCAGGAAGAAGAUCGCACAGGAGCUUCUGAAGGAGACCUGGAAGAAGAACAAUCCAGAACUGCGUAUGGUGGAGUCAGAGCUGCAUAAAGAUCACGUGGUGAGCCAGUGGCAGGUGCAACAGCAGCACAAAAAACAGGUAGAGGAGCAGAACAUGCAGGAAAGGCUGCGUUUUGAGAACGAGUACGAAAGAAGCAGACGGGAGGCACUGGAGAGGAUGAAGGAGGAGGAAGAGAGGAGGAAGGAAAAAGAGAGGGAGAGAUUCGAGUUUCUGCGUCAACAGAUGGAGGAGCUCAAAGUCAGAGAUGAGGAGAGUCGGCGUCUGCAGCAGGAAGAGGACGCUCUGCUGACCAAGCGGUUGGAGGUGGAGCAGCUCGAGGAGGACAGGAGGAGAGCCGAGGAAAGCCGGAAGAAAUCCGAGUUCGGACGUUUACUGAGCCGUCAGUAUCGAGCACAGCUGAAGAGACGAGCACAGCAAGUCCAGGAGGAACUGGAGGCGGAUCGGAGAGUCCUGGCUGCGCUGAUGGAGGGUGAGGAGGAGGAACGGAGGGUGGAGAGUGCGAGGAGGGAGAGGGCGGUGGCUGAUGUGGCAUGGAUGAAGAGAGUUCUGGAGGAACAGCUGCAGCUGGAGAGAGAGCGAGAAGCAGAGUUUGACCUGCUCUACAGAGAGGAGGCACAGAGGGUGUGGGAUGAGCGUGAGGCUCAGUGGGAGAGGGAGAGGAGAGCCAGAGAAAGACUCAUGCACGAGGUGCUGAAUGUGCGUCAGGAGCAGCUGCACGAGCGGAUGGAGGAGAAGCGCAGGGCUCGGGAGGAGUGCGAGAGGAGGAGGGUGGAGCUUCUACAGCAGCUGGAGGAGGAAGAGGAGGAGAAACGACAGCAGAGGGAGGAGCAGGAGCAACAACGCACCACACGCAUGCAGGACAUCAGCACUCAGGUGGAACAGAGACGCAGGGAGAAGUGGGAGGAGCAGCAGAGGCUCGAACAGGAGGAGGCGGAGCUGAGGGAGGGGCUCAGGCUUGAGGAGGAAGAGCUUCGGCUGGAGACAGAGAUGAUGACUCGGCGUGGCUACGAGGAGAGGAUUCACAGCAGGCCUCGUUCAGCCUGGACAUGAGGAGACGAGGACACACCGACCCUCACACUGAUGCCCUCCGGUGUAGUUAGUGGUAUUUCUGGCAGUAGCUCAGUGGCUCAGAUCAGGGCUUGGUGUGUAUGUAGCAAGAUUUCAGCACAAAGUCUUUAAAUUCCACAAGCACAGAAUAUAGAUUCUCAGUGCUAAUGCACAUCAACAUCUAUCUGGGUCAUCAACAUCUAAGUCCACAUUUUUAUUCUUCAUCCUCAGCAAACAAGAGAACCUCCUUAUCAUUAUUAUGAGCAUCAAGCAGAAGGAACUCGUAUCCCAUCCAUAGCUGUGUAAUUCAUCAGAGCAACACCAGAAGGCAGCAGAUCAUUGUGAAUGGAUCUACAGUUAGUGACCUCCAGGGUUUGUUUGUGAGUGAAUCCCACAACCUCAAAGUGAAGGCCAGUGUUUGUGCUCAGUGUCACAAGCAGGGAGAAGAUGGAGAUGAAACCUGAUGUACAGUGAAUGACUUAGAAGAAUUUUCUGCCAGGAUGGAAAAGAUUCUCAGAAACAAGAGAUCCCUGUUAACUUGAUGGCCAUCACAUUAACAUGAGUAAGCCGUCAGAGCAGCGUUUCGAGCCCUGAGAUUUCUUCAUGAUUUACAUUUUGACAUCUGAAGAGGAACAGACAUGAGCUAAUUAACGACUCCAACACAGAGGCGGUGGAGUAGAACAAGGAGAGGAGGAGGAGUGAGAGAGUGAGCGAGUGAGAGAGAUAGAGAGAGGGGGAAAGUAAGACAGGUGUAGUGACACUGUCACUGUAGGGUUUAAGCAUUGAGACACACUCUCACCUCUCUCUUUAACACCUCCUCUAUGUAAAGAAUAAAAGGUGUUGCUGAUGUAGUAACAUACGGAUUUGGUGAUGUUGUUACUGUAAACACCCUGUUCAUUAUUUUCCUUCUAACAGCACAUCCUGUACUGUUUUAUUAUUCUGAUGUUAGCAUGAAGCAUAAGCUCCUCUGUUCUAAACGUCUACAGAAAGUUUGACCUGUAACAGAACGCCUUCCCCCAAUCUGUUCAGGACCCAUAAAUUAGGUGUAAUUAGCAUCCUGUUGUGUCAACAAGCAACCUGCCUCAGGACCAGCAUCUGGCCAGGGUUUUGAAGUCCACUUAAUCUAAUAACGUUCAGCAAAAUCUGGGAAAACCUGCAGAAUAUUCAGAUUAUUAAAAAACUUUUUAUUUCA
RNA transcript from Tachysurus fulvidraco (yellow catfish), 2856 nucleotides. It is a transcript of the gene named trichoplein, keratin filament binding, with no coding region annotated. The record is from RefSeq and is a predicted model, not a curated record. Lineage: Eukaryota; Metazoa; Chordata; Actinopteri; Siluriformes; Bagridae. The transcript has 17 exons.